Miniopterus natalensis is the source of this 926-nucleotide non-coding RNA. The record is from RefSeq and is a predicted model, not a curated record. NCBI's taxonomy places the organism in Eukaryota, Metazoa, Chordata, Mammalia, Chiroptera, Miniopteridae.
GCUGUGGAGAUAGAGCAUUGAACAUAUACGAAAGGGCUGUUUCUGACAGGCCCUGCCUGUGUCCUGCCCUGGUAUGCCCUUAGAGCUGGUGCCAGGGUGCAGACCCAGGAGAGCAUGUGCAUGGCGGUGUGGGACACUGGAGGCUCUGCUUUUCCCCAGGGACAGAGGCGGCAUGUGCUCUGCCCACCUGUCACUCUCAGGUCCCAGCCCAGUCCUGUCUGCACCCUCAGGGGAGCAUGCCUGAGAAGGAUGGGACUUGCAUGCCAUCUCUGUGAGUCUCGAGUGGAGUCCACGUGUGCUGACCGGGCUGCUGCCCAUUUUACAGAUGGCCCCUUCGGAAGGCACUGUGACGCAGAUAGGGCUCCUCUCCCAAGACAUUCACCGCCUCACGACCAUGCUGAGCCAGGACCAGAUGCUGAACGACUCUCACCUGGCUGCUCCCAGCUCUGAGGACUGGAGAUGACUUCUUCAUGGCAGAGAGCCGAGAGAGGAACGUGGGGCCCGAGGCUUUCAGUGGGGAGCUGGCACACAGCCACUGCAGAGCCCAGGCUGAGGCAGGCAGGGCGUCUCGGAUGUGGGUGCUUACAGGAGGGAUGUAGGGCUGUGGACAGAUGUCAAGGAGGUGGCCUGGCCCCAGCACCCGUUUUCAACUGUGCUGUGCUCUUCGCCACAGCUUUCAUACCUUUUGUACCUUUAUAUGUGACUGCAGACCACUUUUGUGUGGAGGCAGUGAGGUCAGCGCAGCCGCAAUGGUUUGUGCUGUUCCUGGUGAUAGCUGGGAGGCCCUUACACCAAAGAGGCAGGGCUGUGUGCUUAAAAGCUCUGCUGGAAGCAAAGUUCUGGAAAAAUGUUCUGAAUGUUCUGUAGUGACUGAGCUGGGUGAGAUGAUAACAGGAGUCCCCUCCCUGGGCUGCUUCCAGACAGAA